ACAAAUCUAAUGUGUUAUGUCGAUGUCGAUAGUUGUGUUUAGUUUGUUCUCGCUGUGCCAUUCCCAGUUUACAACAAGUUCCUAAAUUUUUCCAACUAACCACAACUUCGCCACUUCAACUUUCAUGUAACUUAAUGACCGAAGAAUUAUUGAUGAAUGAAAAAAGGUUCUCCCUAAACUCAAGUUAUUGGUACUUCCAAAGCAGUUGAUGAUUUAUUAUUAUCACAGAUUGUCUUUAAAUUUUGCUUAAUCAACUAAAUUAAUCAUCUGGUUUUCUUUCCAAGAGAAUGUAAAAGGGCAAUUUCACGGUCCCGGGUCCCCUAAGUUCUUUGUCUGCUACCUUGAAUUUCCCUCUUUGACUUCAGGUCCACUCUUUGAGUUUAAUCCUGCGCCGCUAUUCAAUGGACUGAAUCCAUUGAACUUGGCGAGUGACGAGAGAUUAGCGACUACGUGUUGUCAUUCAGCAAUCCACUUGCGUGCCGUCCUCUUUCGUCGCUCCGGGGCAGAGGGGAGUUGAGCCUGCUCCAGCUACGCAGCCAGAAUCUUUCGACUACCCCUUAGGAUAGAUUUCAUUUACAGGUUUUUCUAAAUUUGCAUGACAGACUUUAUGAAAAGUCAUGUCCUUUGAAGAAAACGGACAGUGACUAUACAUACAUUCAAUAAGGUCCCUUGUUUGAUAACCAGUUGGCUGUUACCCUUUCACUAUGAUUUGAGGGUAACUCCGUCGUUGCUUAUCAUGGACUUCAUCCAUUGGUGAAAACUGACUAGAGAAUGCUGUAAUUCAAGACUGAUUAGUUGUGUAGUUGUUAGAUAAAUUAAAAGUGCAUAUCUGGGCUCCCUUCUUUUCUGUGGUCCCGUUUC
Molecule: long non-coding RNA, 861 nt
Filed under: Daphnia pulicaria
Lineage: Eukaryota; Metazoa; Arthropoda; Branchiopoda; Diplostraca; Daphniidae
Description: uncharacterized LOC124340763, transcript variant X1
Source: RNAcentral